Molecule: transfer RNA, 77 nt
Filed under: Planctomycetia bacterium
Lineage: Bacteria; Pseudomonadati; Planctomycetota; Planctomycetia
Description: tRNA-Pro
Rfam family: tRNA
About the family: Transfer RNA (tRNA) molecules are approximately 80 nucleotides in length. Their secondary structure includes four short double-helical elements and three loops (D, anti-codon, and T loops).
Source: RNAcentral
CGGAAUAUAGCCUAGCCCGGUAAGGCGUAUGGUUUGGGACCAUAAGACCGCAGGUUCGAAUCCUGCUAUUCCGACCA